UACUCGAGUGGCGAACGGGUGAGUAACACGUGGGUGAUCUGCCCUGCACUUCGGGAUAAGCUUGGGAAACUGGGUCUAAUACCGGAUAGGAGCCAUCUUUAGUGUGGUGGUUGGAAAGUUUUUUCGGUGUAGGAUGAGCUCGCGGCCUAUCAGCUUGUUGGUGGGGUAGUGGCCUACCAAGGCGGCGACGGGUAGCCGGCCUGAGAGGGUGUACGGCCACAUUGGGACUGAGAUACGGCCCAG
This 243-nucleotide ribosomal RNA is filed under the name uncultured Actinomycetales bacterium. RNAcentral describes it as "partial 16S ribosomal RNA". It matches the Rfam family "Bacterial small subunit ribosomal RNA", at positions 88 to 334 of the family's 1533-position model. The record is from RNAcentral. Lineage: Bacteria; Bacillati; Actinomycetota; Actinomycetes; Actinomycetales.